GGGGAAUUAGCUCAAAUGGUAGAGCACUUGCUUAGCAUGUGAGAGGCAGCGGGAUCGAUGCCCACAUUCUCCA
Molecule: transfer RNA, 73 nt
Filed under: Merops nubicus (carmine bee-eater)
Lineage: Eukaryota; Metazoa; Chordata; Aves; Coraciiformes; Meropidae
Rfam family: tRNA
About the family: Transfer RNA (tRNA) molecules are approximately 80 nucleotides in length. Their secondary structure includes four short double-helical elements and three loops (D, anti-codon, and T loops). Further hydrogen bonds mediate the characteristic L-shaped molecular structure. tRNAs have two regions of fundamental functional importance: the anti-codon, which is responsible for specific mRNA codon recognition, and the 3' end, to which the tRNAs corresponding amino acid is attached (by aminoacyl-tRNA synthetases). tRNAs cope with the degeneracy of the genetic code in two manners: having more than one tRNA (with a specific anti-codon) for a particular amino acid; and 'wobble' base-pairing, i.e. permitting non-standard base-pairing at the 3rd anti-codon position.
Source: Rfam by way of RNAcentral